UACGUAGGGCGCAAGCGUUAUCCGGAAUUAUUGGGCGUAAAGAGCUCGUAGGCGGUUUGUCGCGUCGACUGUGAAAACCCGAGGCUUAACCUCGGGCCUGCAGUCGAUACGGGCAGACUAGAGUUCGGUAGGGGAGACUGGAAUUCCUGGUGUAGCGGUGAAAUGCGCAGAUAUCAGGAGGAACACCGGUGGCGAAGGCGGGUCUCUGGGCCGAUACUGACGCUGAGGAGCGAAAGCGUGGGGAGCGAACAGG
RNAcentral lists this ribosomal RNA (253 nucleotides) under uncultured bacterium. Its description in RNAcentral is "partial 16S ribosomal RNA". It matches the Rfam family "Bacterial small subunit ribosomal RNA", at positions 524 to 776 of the family's 1533-position model. The record is from RNAcentral.